AAUGUCUGAUCUCAUAUUUCUUGCAUCCAUAGCCUGGGACAAGAGGAUAUCAGUGGAGAUCUAGAGGAGCCCGAGAACUCUAAAACCUUCAACACAAUGUUAUUACCGUGAUCAAACUCAAAAUUAUGGAUGGCUUGUUCAAGGCAGUUGAUCAAACAUGAUUUCCUCCAAGUUUGUAAGUUAAGUAAGUAAAUGUUUGUUGAAUGAGUAAAUAAGUCAAAAUUCAAACAUGUACAAUUUAACUCUCAAUAUGAUCAUUUUCUGAAAUACUAAAACAUUAUAU
Molecule: long non-coding RNA, 283 nt
Filed under: Capra hircus (goat)
Lineage: Eukaryota; Metazoa; Chordata; Mammalia; Artiodactyla; Bovidae
Description: lncRNA (ENSCHIG00000007455.1)
Source: RNAcentral